GGACAAGUUCCUGAGAAAAGUACUUGUUUUCAUGCUGAGUAUCUCUGCUGGAAAAUAAGGAGUAAAUAAAUGAGUAAUUUUAAGCAAAUAGUCAGACUUUUUGGACAGGGACUUCUCCUCAGCUGGAAAUUUGAUGCUUUCAAGGAUAUUGUUGUGUAGGGACAUAUGGAGUUCAUCUUGGAGAUUAUGAGCACUGAUGGAGAGCUAGAUGGGCACUAUAUUACCAAAUGUGUACAAAGAAACCUGAGUCAUGCAAACCAAGUGAGUGAUUCAGUUCCAGUAGAAAAUAAUAAUAAUAAUUAAAAAAACAUGGAUAUCAAGUCACAAAAAAAUAGUUUGAAGGCAGUAGUCGAGGUAAAGCUAAAUAAUUUUAGAGAACAAAGAGAAAGACUUGGUGUAUUGUAAUUGUUGAGUCAUGGCCUAAACCACUGAUUGAGCACCUGGGGAAAGGACCCGGUCAGCCGUGGGAGCACAGGUGAAUGCAAUUCAGCUGUAGGAUUGGAAGGGGUGGGGCUUGGCUGCACCUCCCUUAGACCUCUUUUAAGGGCUGACUGGCAUUGUGGUAGUAUUUCUUUCUAGAGAUUCCUUCUUGGUGCAGCUUUCCUCUGUGAGCCUAGAAUCUUCUGAUGUGGUUGAGCAAUCUUCUUCCCUUUCUUUAUAGCACUUUUCUAUUGUGGUGGUCCUUUUGUUAUCAUGUGUUUCUUGUAACGCCUUUUCCAUUGUAUUGAUCUGUCUAAUUGCUACAUAUGGAAACAAGAGGAGACCUACUAGCAGAAAACUUCUGGAAGCAUGUGAAAAGCUAAUAUGCAGCCACAUGUGGACAGUUUUGGGGGCAGCAAGACUGGAGAGAAAUUAAAAAGGGCUGUGAGAGGUAUAGCAGAGGGACAUGGAACUAUGCCCAGGGUCAACAAGCAAGGGAAGGAAGGGUACUCAGCAGCUGUUAUUUAUUCACAAAGAAGAAACGCUAUCUCUGAAAAAACUGCUGUGGUCCAGUCUGUGUUAUUUACUUCACCGAUACCAUGGGCUGGGAGAAGCAGCACAUUACAACUGUUGUUGUCAGCAUCUCCUCCAGAAGACGUAACGUAUAGUCUCUAUGCCCUGUGGAAUUCUGGAGAGUGCAUGCUUUCAUCGGAGACUUCACAAAGCAUUCACAACAGGAUUUUACAGCUUCUGUAAAAGAAGAUAAGCAGAGCAGAAGAACUAUCUGUUUAAGGAGUUGGUACCAAUUUUCUAUUGUUAUCAGGGUAUGCUACAAAUGUACUGCUCUAUGUAUCAGCAAUGAAACUGAAAAUCUGCUAAGACUGUAUCCCCUUUAGAGGGGAAGGGGUGGAAGGAGAGAUCCUAAUUUUAAGAACAGUGAGUGAGCUCAUUUUUGUUUAAACUUACCUAUGGAGCUUUGACAUUAUCGUGUUACAAAAACAGUAGAAAUGCUGAGCGCUCCUGCAAGAAAACCCCUUUUACCUCUCAUCAGCUGUACACAGUACAAUGUCUGUCUUGUGUAUUAGAGCUAUCAUAGAACUCGAAUGAUGAAGUUAAACUGAGGAAUUUUCCUGCUGUGUCCUGAAACUGUGGAGGAGAAAAGAUUGUCACACUCCAUCUCUUAGGAAAGAAGUUGGAACUAAUGUAUGUUAAUGCUGAAGAAUCUGGUUAAUGUGCAUGGCAAAUUCUUUUCUUACAGACAACUACAUAGAGGCAUAUUAUAAAUUGAAACUAAUAUCCAGUCCACAACAAACACUGAGGUGGCUGGGAACAGGCAGUCGGCUGAGAACGCAGCAAGCUGCUAAUGAUAUACUUCAAAUGAACAAUACGUUACAGCCUUUUGCUGAAAUGUCUCAUGCAGUACAGAUCUCUGAGGAGAAAAACAGAAACAAACAGUCGACAUCUCAGUAUAAUCAAAACCCCUGAUCUAGGUGAGAACAAUAUUCAAUUGUAAAGCAUUUUUUGCCCUUUCCUGGGAAGAUCUAUUCACGUGUGUGAGUUUUGUUGUCCUUGUUCUGUUCUUUGAGAUGUCAGGCUGCAGGAAAAUUCAAAAGCUUGGUUCAAGUUAAAUGUGAUCAUAAAAGGCAGUGAUACCAGGAUCUCAGUGAAACGCACAGCACAGGAUUUGAGGGAAAGUCUGAAUUUCAUACAUAGUACUGAAAUGUAAAAUUUUCAAAGUACUUCAGUCUUGAGUGAGACAUGGAUUCAGAUUUCUUAGCCACAGCUUGAAGAGAGACAGAGGUAUUUGCUCUCUGAUAUGUCUUUGGUCACUGAUUUGUCUGCACGUGGAAGGAAAUGAAAACAACUUCCUUAGCUCAAGGUGAGCUGCUGGGUUCAGUAUGCUACAUUUUUCAAAAUGCCUCCAAGCACAAAUUUAACUUGUCUUUAAUUGUAGUUUUUAAUGUCAUUUUGAUCAGAAAUUUGACUGUUUGAACAAAUUGGAUUUACAGUACAAUCAAAGCCUCCUCAAGACAAACUCUGAGCCCAACAUCUGUGUUUUUAGUUCUGUUUAGAUGAAUGUAACUUAGUAAAAUGCAUCCAACGAACUUGUGAUCAAUUUACCUUGCAUAGGGUUACUUGUUUUUUCCUGCCUAUUGCAGUUUUUCCACUAUUUUUCUAUUAGAAGUCACAUCUAAUGACCUGUCACACUUUCAUUUUCUCAGCAGUAGUGAAAAUGCCUUGCGUUUUACAGGUUUGUAAAAUGCUUAUGCUUUCUAGAUGCCUUUUUUUGCACCAGGCUUCCAAGUUAGUGUGCAUCAUGUUAGUGAAUAACCAAGAGGUACGAAAGUAUCACAGCUGGAGUAAGAGGAAACUUUAGCUAUGAAGAAACCUUAGAUCACUACUGUGCUUUCUUUCUCUGUUUCAAAUGACAAAAGACAUUCAAAGUAGCAUUACAAAAUUCUCAAAUUAGAUGCAGUUCAGACCCUAAAAUACACUCUGUCACAACACUGUCAGUAGGCAACCUCUGUAACCUCCUUUUAUGUCAUACUGGUUCCUGUACUGCCUCUCUACCCUUGAAAGCCUCAGCAGCAAUGAGCUGGUCUUCCUGAGUUAAGUACUACCACCAAGCCCAAAAAAGAAGCUCCCUCAUUGAAAGUUGAACUGUUUGCCAUUAUCCUUAAUCUCUUCCACCAUUUUGUGAAAAUUUUGUUUUUUUUUAACAUCUGGUUCUCUCCCUAUCUUGUUAAAUAGCAAAAAAUAUAUAUAUAUAUUCUUUUUCCUCAGAGUUCCUAAGGAAGUGUACUCCUUUUACCUUGUAGCUCCAUUACUGCUACAGAGAGCAGUAAUGAUUUGGGCUUUGAAUCACCUGCUUAUGUUACCUGAAAAUGCAUUCCCUGGCCUAUCUGGGGGGAGCAACCAUGAAAGCCAGAGGAGAUGUCAUAUCAUUUAAGAAAACUUCUGCUCUGACCCUACUUCUCAUCCUAGGAAUAUCUGCUGAUUUUUUUUCCACUGAGAUUCAAUUUCACUCUAUAAAGGUCUGUUUAGGAAGUUGUGACCUUCAGCAUUCAAAGGGAAGGACGUUAAUCUGUAAUGCUGCUUCAAAAUCCUGUAGACCAUACAGAUAUCAGAAUUAUUUUGGCUUUUAAAUAGAAGUGACAAAAUGGAAUUUUGCUUCCACAAGGAUGAGGGACAGGGACCAGACCGCUGCUACUGUUGCUAGAGAUUCGGGAGGCAGUGGGAAAAGAGGAGGUAAAAAAGAAGAAUGUGAUUUUUUUUUUUUUUUAAAGAAUGCUUCUUAAGAAACAAAUUAAUCUUUUGCUGGUGGAUCUGUUCACUGGACUCUUUGCUUAACAGCAAACAUCUUCAAACCUGCAGCAUAAUUCAUGGGACAGUCAUUACAGGGCUACCCUGGGGCAGAAAGAACUGGGGGAAUUUUGAUCCUCAGUCAUGGUGGAAGUACGUGCCAUGGAAGGAGUAUUUGUCUCUUUGCCAAAGCUUCUCUCCUUUUCUCCCAAACUUGGCAUGUACUCACACUUGGGGCCAGAUAUCUGAGCUUGCAGACCUGUUUUCAGUUUCAAGAGUAGUCAGUAUCCAAAAUUCAUCUUUAAAGGAUUCUCAAUUCAUUUAAAAAUUCACCCUUUCUCUCUUCUGAUAUAUCAAGAGCUUUUCCUUGCUAAUCCUUAAAAGAUAAUGUCAGUCUUAGACAUUUUUAUGUAUUCUAAGUGGCAGUGCAAAUGACUUUAUAGUGUUCUGAAGAUAUUUUCUUACUCCAUAGUUUUCAUUUUGUGUAUCCUUUUAACGAUUCAUUAAGCAAUGUGGUAAGCCCAAUUAUAUCAAUUUCUUCACUUCCUCUUUAGCUUAAAAUAUAUUUAGGAAGCUUAUUUCAGAAGAAUGGCUACUGUUCUAGGAAAAGGUUGUCUUUCAGUUUUUAAGAGAGUAUUUUAGACUUAUUUGAAUUAGUAUUUGCAUUACCAUGUGAUUGUGCUACAGAAGACAAAAUUCAAGAUAUGUACGUGUUUGAUGUGAGAUUUCUUUCCAAGUUCAUUUGAGAAUAAAGGUCUUGUCCAGUUUAAGACCA
Molecule: long non-coding RNA, 4498 nt
Organism: Phasianus colchicus (ring-necked pheasant)
Lineage: Eukaryota; Metazoa; Chordata; Aves; Galliformes; Phasianidae
Source: Ensembl